RNAcentral lists this ribosomal RNA (236 nucleotides) under uncultured bacterium. Its description in RNAcentral is "partial 16S ribosomal RNA". It matches the Rfam family "Bacterial small subunit ribosomal RNA", at positions 15 to 244 of the family's 1533-position model. The record is from RNAcentral.
GAUCCUGGCUCAGGACGAACGCUGGCGGCGCGCCUAACACAUGCAAGUCGAACGAGAGAGAGGAAGCUUGCUUCCUCAAUCGAGUGGCGAACGGGUGAGUAACGCGUGAGGAACCUGCCUCAAAGAGGGGGACAACAGUUGGAAACGACUGCUAAUACCGCAUAAGCCCGACAGGUCGGUCAUCGACCAGAGGGAAAAGGAGCAAUCCGCUUUGAGAUGGCCUCGCGUCCGAUUAG